GUGAAUCAUCGAAUUUUUGAACGCAAAUUGCACUCUCCUCGGAGAGUAUGCGUGUUUGAGGGUCAGCCUAUAAAAAAUCGAAAUCGUUGCUGUUUCGCGGCGGCGUUCGUCGGACACUGGGUCAUCCUAGAUCCUUUUUGUUUUUAAGCGCCUUAAAAUUUUCAUUUUGGUUCCAUGAGCGUUUCUAAGAUUUAUUUCAUUACUCGUUUAAGGUAUAGAUUUUUAUUAGACGUGACCGACAUA
Molecule: unclassified non-coding RNA, 243 nt
Filed under: Glomus sp.
Lineage: Eukaryota; Fungi; Glomeromycota; Glomeromycetes; Glomerales; Glomeraceae
Description: partial contains 5.8S ribosomal RNA and internal transcribed spacer 2
Rfam family: 5.8S ribosomal RNA (bases 1-65)
Source: RNAcentral